GUACACUCCUACGGGAGGCAGCAGUGGGGAAUUUUGGACAAUGGGCGAAAGCCUGAUCCAGCAAUGCCGCGUGAGUGAAGAAGGCCUUCGGGUUGUAAAGCUCUUUUGUCAGGGAAGAAACGGUGAGAGCUAAUAUCUUUUGCUAAUGACGGUACCUGAAGAAUAAGCACCGGCUAACUACGUGCCAGCAGCCGCGGUAAUACGUAGGGUGCAAGCGUUAAUCGGAAUUACUGGGCGUAAAGCGUGCGCAGGCGGUUUUGUAAGUCUGAUGUGAAAUCCCCGGGCUCAACCUGGGAAUUGCAUUGGAGACUGCAAGGCUAGAAUCUGGCAGAGGGGGGUAGAAUUCCACGUGUAGCAGUGAAAUGCGUAGAUAUGUGGAGGAACACCGAUGGCGAAGGCAGCCCCCUGGGUCAAGAUUGACGCUCAUGCACGAAAGCGUGGGGAGCAAACAGGAUUAGAUACCCCUGUAGUCCCAUGA
This 478-nucleotide ribosomal RNA is filed under the name uncultured organism. RNAcentral describes it as "partial 16S ribosomal RNA". It matches the Rfam family "Bacterial small subunit ribosomal RNA", at positions 331 to 800 of the family's 1533-position model. The record is from RNAcentral.